This is a non-coding RNA of Leptonychotes weddellii (Weddell seal), 2023 nucleotides long. NCBI's taxonomy places the organism in Eukaryota, Metazoa, Chordata, Mammalia, Carnivora, Phocidae. The record is from RefSeq and is a predicted model, not a curated record.
GGAAAGGGGGCAGGAAGUGAGGAGGUGACAGUUUCUGGCUGCUGAUGACCCGCAGAGCCCACGGAGUGACCGCAGAUAAUGCCCCAUCUUUCUCAGCCACCCAGACUCACUGAACUUAGAUCCUGCAGCUCUGACAAGGGCCAAGGGAAGCAGAGAAUGGCAGCUGCAUCAGUUGUGGUGGGAGUGAUUCUUGGUGCCUCUCUGUCCUGUUGUUCCCUGAAGCCGAAGCUGUGGGUCUGGGCAAUCUGCACAGCGAGGCGACUAGAACCUCUGAGGGAUGCUGCAGUCUAGAACGAUCCCUGGCCUAAUUCAAGAAUGGAAACAUGGCUCUUCCCUCAGGGGCUGAUGAUGUCACCGGAGCAGUGAGUUAUAUUCCCUUCAAAAGGACCCAUGCUGCAGCUUCCUCCACUGCUGUCUUUACUCCCUGGACAACCAGCUCCCACUGCUCCUUAGAGGCCGGGUGCCCAGUGUGCGGGCUUUCACACACCACCUCCCCGAAUCCUCAUCAAAACCCGACGGCAAGGGCGCUGUCAUCCUAACUACGCAGGAGAAAACUGAGACUCGGAAACUUAAGUGACUCAUUUCCCAUCUGAGUGGAUUACUCAGGAAAAGAAAAGGAAAUUAGCAUGAGAUUUGGGAGGAAGUAUUGAAUAACGACUAUCAGCAAAGGGCUUUUUGCUUAGACAAAUCUGAGUUGGAAGCCCAGCUCUUCAACUUCCGGGCUGUGUGAGCUUGGGCAAGUCCCUCAGCUGCUCUGAGGCUCACUUUCUCCACCUGCAAUGUGAAGAUAAUCCUACUACCUAUUCCAGGCCUCCUGCGUGGCAGGUGAUCCAGAAUUUUAUCUAAUCGUCUCCUUGCUUUUAUUAAAUGACGGUUAUUUUUUCUCUGCUCACCAAUCAGGAUUUUGUGGUUCUUCUGCUGGUCUCUCCUGGGUUCUCUCCUAUGGUUGAAGAAUGGAAUGGAAUGGCUGGAUAGUCCAAGGUGACCUGGCACAGACGUCUGGGAGUUGGUGCUGCUUCUGAGCCUGGGCACCUCGAUUUUCCUCUACACGGCCGUUCAUCCUUGGGUAGACUUAUCAGCUUCCUCACAGCACAGCUGCCUCAGGGCAGAGCUCCAAGAGGACAAGUGCCUGUGUGCCAGGGUAACUGCUGAGGAAGAAAUGCACCGGCCAAGUCUUACCCUGUGGCAACCUUUUGGUAAGGUCUUUGGAGAGCCACAUAAGGUGUUUCUUGCCUGCAGUCACAUGGUGAGAUUUGCAUUUUAGGAAGGUCACCUGACGCCCUGUGGAGGAUGGCUCAGAGGGGCUAGACUGAGGCAGGAGGGCUGAUAAAGGGGCUGUAAUUUGAGUGAGAGAUGGUAUGAUAGUUAAUUUCAUGUGUCAACUUGGCUGGAGCAGGGUAAUCAGAUAUGUGCUCAAACUUUAUUCUGGAUGCUUCUGUGAGGGCAUUUCUGGAUGAGAUUGACAUUGAAAUUGGUAGACUUUGACUAAGUAGAUUGCCCUCUAUCAUGUGAGUGGGCCUUUUCUAAUCAGGCCUACAUAACAAAUGAUUGACCUCCCUGAGCCAGAAAGAAUUUGACCAGCAGAUGGCCUCUGACCUUGAACCAGGACAUUGGUGCUGCUUUGGUUCUCCAGCCUGCUGGUCCACCCCCAGGUUUUGAACUUGCCCACAUCCAUGAUAGCAAGAGCCAAUUCCUUAAAAUAAAUCUCUCUCUCUCUCUCUCUGUGUACACAUCUAUUGGUUCUCUUUUUCUGGAGAAUUGUGACUAACACAGAUGGUAGAACCUGCACCAGAGCAGUGGCCAUGGGGUUGGAGAGAAGGGUAAGAACUGAAGAGCUAGUUAGGAGAUUAAAUUGGCCUCAUUUAAUGAUAUUUUGGGCGUGGGCAGAAAGACAGUAAGAGAAGUUUCAGUGGUGAUUGAGUGUUUCCUUAGGUGGGCUGCUGGAUGGAUUCGGAUGUUCUGUAUCAAGAGAAGAAAUCCAGUCUAUGUGGGGUGCUGACCCGCAAUGGUGCACAUGGAUGGA